Molecule: small RNA, 21 nt
Filed under: Arabidopsis thaliana (thale cress)
Lineage: Eukaryota; Viridiplantae; Streptophyta; Magnoliopsida; Brassicales; Brassicaceae
Description: Ath_wt_14096
Source: RNAcentral
GCACGGGCCUGGCUCAACCCG